CAGUAGCCGCGGUAAUACAGAGGGUGCGAGCGUUAAUCGGAUUUACUGGGCGUAAAGCGUGCGUAGGCGGCUAAUUGAGUCGGAUGUGAAAUCCCCGAGCUUAACUUGGGAAUUGCAUUCGAUACUGGUUAGCUAGAGUGUGGGAGAGGAUGGUAGAAUUCCAGGUGUAGCGGUGAAAUGCGUAGAGAUAUGGAGGAAUACCGAUGGCGAAGGCAGCCAUCUGGCCUAACACUGACGCUGAGGUACGAAAGCAUGGGGAGCAAACAGGAUUAGGACCCCGGUAGUCCCUGUCUCUUAUACA
This 301-nucleotide ribosomal RNA is filed under the name uncultured bacterium. RNAcentral's name for it is "partial 16S ribosomal RNA". It matches the Rfam family "Bacterial small subunit ribosomal RNA", at positions 509 to 808 of the family's 1533-position model. The record is from RNAcentral.